GACGAACGCUGGCGGCGUGCUUAACACAUGCAAGUCGAACGGUAAGGCCCUUCGGGGUACACGAGUGGCGAACGGGUGAGCAACACGUGGGUGAUCUGCCCUGCACUUCGGGAUAAGCCUGGGAAACUGGGUCUAAUACCGGAUAGGACCACUGCCUGCAUGGGUGGUGGUGGAAAGCUUUUGCGGUGUGGGAUGGGCCCGCGGCCUAUCAGCUUGGUGGUGGGGUGAUGGCCUACCAAGGCGACGACGGGUAGCCGGCCUGAGAGGGUGCGCGGCCACACUGGGAGUGGGAUACGGCCCAGGCUCCUGCGGGAGGCAGCAGUGGGGAAUAUGGAACAAUGGGCGGAAACCUGAUGCAGCAUCGCCGCGUGAGAGACGACGGCCUUCGGGUAGUAGACCUCUUUUAGUAGGGAAGAAGCGAAAGUGACGGUACCUGCAGAAAAAGCACCGGCUAACUACGUGCCAGCAGCCGCCGUAA
This 478-nucleotide ribosomal RNA is filed under the name uncultured bacterium. RNAcentral describes it as "partial 16S ribosomal RNA". It matches the Rfam family "Bacterial small subunit ribosomal RNA", at positions 28 to 523 of the family's 1533-position model. The record is from RNAcentral.